UGGGGAAUAUUGCACAAUGGGCGCAAGCCUGAUGCAGCAACGCCGCGUGAGGGAUGACGGCCUUCGGGUUGUAAACCUCUUUUAGUAGGGAAGAAGCGAAAGUGACGGUACCUGCAGAAAAAGCACCGGCUAACUACGUGCCAGCAGCCGCGGUAAUACGUAGGGUGCAAGCGUUGUCCGGAAUUAUUGGGCGUAAAGAGCUCGUAGGCGGCUUGUCGCGUCUGCUGUGAAAACUGGAGGCUCAACCUCCAGCCUGCAGUGGGUACGGGCAAGCUAGAGCGCGGUAGGGGAGAUUGGAAUUCCUGGUGUAGCGGUGGAAUGCGCAGAUAUCAGGAGGAACAUCGAUGGCGAAGGCAGAUCUCUGGGCCGUUACUGACGCUGAGGAGCGAAAGCAUGGGGAGCGAACAGG
Molecule: ribosomal RNA, 409 nt
Filed under: bacterium
Lineage: Bacteria
Description: partial 16S ribosomal RNA
Rfam family: Bacterial small subunit ribosomal RNA
Source: RNAcentral